RNAcentral lists this ribosomal RNA (404 nucleotides) under Actinomycetes bacterium. RNAcentral's name for it is "Actinobacteria bacterium partial 16S ribosomal RNA". It matches the Rfam family "Bacterial small subunit ribosomal RNA", at positions 355 to 776 of the family's 1533-position model. Lineage: Bacteria; Bacillati; Actinomycetota; Actinomycetes. The record is from RNAcentral.
UGGGGAAUAUUGGACAAUGGGCGCAAGCCUGAUCCAGCCAUGCCGCGUGAGUGAUGAAGGCCCUAGGGUUGUAAAGCUCUUUCACCGGUGAAGAUAACGACGGUAACCGGAGAAGAAGCCCCGGCUAACUUCGUGCCAGCAGCCGCGGUAAUACGAAGGGGGCUAGCGUUGUUCGGAUUUACUGGGCGUAAGGCGCACGUAGGCGGACUUUUAAGUCAGGGGUGAAAUCCCGGGGCUCAACCCCGGAACUGCCUUGGAUACUGGAAGUCUUGAGUAUGGUAGAGGUGAGUGGAAUUCCGAGUGUAGAGGUGAAAUUCGUAGAUAUUCGGAGGAACACCAGUGGCGAAGGCGGCUCACUGGACCAUUACUGACGCUGAGGUGCGAAAGCGUGGGGAGCAAACAGG